CCCUUAGAUGUCCUGGGCUGCACGCGCGCUACACUGAUGUGUCCAGUAAGCACCUAACCUCUUCCGAAAGGAACGGGUAACCUUUGCAAAGCACAUCGUGAUGGGGAUAGAUUAUUGCAAUUAUUAGUCUUGAACGAGGACUUCCUAGUAAGCACAAGUCAUCAGCUUGUGUUGAUUACGUCCCUGCCCUUUGUACACACCGCCCGUCGCUCCUACCGAUUGAAUGUUCCGGUGAGCUCUUCGGACUGCGCGGUCUGCAGUUUCUGCGUUCCGUGCGGAAAGUUGCGCAAACCUUAACAUUUAGAGGAAGGAGAAGUCGUAACA
This 324-nucleotide ribosomal RNA is filed under the name uncultured eukaryote. RNAcentral describes it as "partial 18S ribosomal RNA". It matches the Rfam family "Eukaryotic small subunit ribosomal RNA", at positions 1470 to 1796 of the family's 1831-position model. The record is from RNAcentral.